Small nucleolar RNA from Anolis carolinensis (green anole), 74 nucleotides. Lineage: Eukaryota; Metazoa; Chordata; Lepidosauria; Squamata; Anolidae. The record is from Ensembl.
AAUCAUUGAUGAGACUAUCCCGAACCUGAUUUCUUUGAUGAAAAAACUGCCAAUAUGGAUCCGGCUUCUGAGGU